Long non-coding RNA from Phyllostomus discolor (pale spear-nosed bat), 1572 nucleotides. RefSeq lists it as uncharacterized. Lineage: Eukaryota; Metazoa; Chordata; Mammalia; Chiroptera; Phyllostomidae. The transcript has 4 exons. The record is from RefSeq and is a predicted model, not a curated record.
CUGGCUAGAGGCAGAAGAGGUGCAGCAGAAGAAAUCAGAGAGAUCUGAGACAUGAGGAGGAACCCACCAUUGGGAUGUGAAGGACAAAGUGGGCCAAAGGUUGGGAAGAAUUGCCCCAAGGAAAUCAUUCCAGCAGCUAGCCUGAUUUCACUGAGAUGGGUGUCACCCUGUCUGGAAGUUGUCGGGAAUGUAAUUUGUCUACUCCAGAUCAAUGAACAUCUGAUGAUCCUGCCUCAAGUUUAUCUGUACAAAUAGCACAGUGUGACACCAGCUCCACGCAGACAGUAGCCCAGGGGUAAUACCAGUCCUUCCAUCCUCACAUGGACAUACAGAGGUCCCUACUGUGGAGUUUUAUUAUCCAUCUACAGAUUCAGAGACAUCCAAAAUCAGCCCGGGUGACUUUUAAGAGCCUAAUAGGGGCCCAAGAGGUUCCCUGGGCUUUGCAAAUGCAGCUGAAAGACCGCAGCAGGCCCACGGCCUGAAGGGACCUGCUGAUUGCUGGCAGGGGCACUGGAACUGGCCAGGCCAGUGCACCAGCCUGCUUUGCAAAGUAAAACUCAAGGGCUCCACCCAGAUUGUCUUUUCUCAUUUUCAAACUUUUGAUCUCAUUUCAAAUUACAUGUUAUAGCGAUUUGCACCAGCGGGUUGAUGAUGAUCACCCUGGAGAGCUGGAAGAACAGCUUGGCCAUAUGUUUACCAGUGUGCACGCAGCAGUAUGAUUUCAGUAAUGACUUGAUUUGGGCUGCAUUUACGCCUCUAACACUCUCCAAAUUGACAUUUUCUCCUCCAUAAAAACAGACCCCUAAUAUGAAAGUCUCAUAAAGGGGUUCAACAUUUUUCAUUAAUGCAUGUCAGGUGUGUGUACCUGGCUUUAAAGGAAAUGCAAUAUGUGAGAAAGGAUGUGCACCCAUUAAACCAGGGGUCAAGAGACUCACUUUACAGACUGAUGGAUUCACUUCACAGAAUGAUUCUUUUCUUUACCAAAAGAAUGUCCACUGGUUUGCCUGAAAGGUAUAAGCUUUCCUUGAGUACCUGAACACUUUGUAAAGUUUUCAUUUAAAAAUGCAGCUUAGGCAUCACAUGCACUGUGGUAAAAUGUAGACUGUUCAGAUCAGACAGACGUCCCCAUGUCAUUUUAGCCAUUACCCCAUUUCAAAUGGAAUUCAAACGAUUUGUCAACAUCUGGUUGUAAAUCAGUGCCCGGCCUAGAUGGUUCUGAAGCAAAGCAUAUACUUGCUUCAAGACUUAGGCCAAUAGUUAUUCCCUUCCUUCAUCCAGCCCUCUCAGACAACUCUCACUCCUUUCCCAGACUUGAAAUCUUUCUGGCAUUUUGUAGCAUUUUGUAUUGCCCAAUUUGAAUAGUGUCCUAGAAAUGGCCAUAGUUUUAUUCAUUUAAUGAGUUCAGCUCUGUUCCAGGUCUUCAAGAAACUUGCCUAAAAAAAUAAUUACAGUCGAUAAAAUACAAUGAGAAGGAGCUAUCACUGUUCUGAAUCAAUGUCUUCUGUUUAGCAAGAAUUCAUAAGACCCCUAUGUUCAUUGCAGAAUUAUGUAUAAUAACCAAGAUUUGGAAGU